UCUAUGUUAUUUGGCUUCCAAGAACAUUUACCAAACAAAAUUAUUUUGCCCAUGGUGUUUAUUAAAAAUACAGCGGGGUCAUCUUUCAUCUUUAUGUGGUCCAUCUAUCAGUCACACUGAGGACAACAUCAAUAUUACCUUUUGUCUAAGCCCCUUGAACCUCCUCAGGAGACCCUUCAUUUGUUUCAUGUUCAUGAUAUAUGUCGGUAACUCAAUCAAACUUAUUGGGACAUUGUUGAUGUUUUUAUAUUUGGAACCUUAUGAUUAUUCUAAGACCAGGCAAUAUUCACAAGUUCUUGGCAUUUUCCUUGCCAUGUUUUGUAAGAAAACAAAACAGAGAAGAGGAAGCAAGAAGAAAGAAUGUAGAAUGAAAGAAGGCAAGCCUGGAAGAAGAAAGGAAGGAAAGGUGUGACAUGUUAAGAGACUCUGGUCAGGAGGGAUAUUUGCUCCUUGUGGAUAUCUAGAAGUAUUAUACUGAUGACAUUAGAAAUGACUGGAAUAAUAAUCUGAAGGAUUAUACAUUUGAGAAAAAUGAAGAGAAUUUUACCACAGAGGAUUUUUGAAUGGUGUAUCUUAUGAAGGCAAGAGAAGACUAUGUAUUUCUAAGGCUCUUACUGUGCUGCUCACUGUAGUCU
Molecule: long non-coding RNA, 635 nt
Organism: Mus caroli (Ryukyu mouse)
Lineage: Eukaryota; Metazoa; Chordata; Mammalia; Rodentia; Muridae
Source: RefSeq, a predicted model, not a curated record